Molecule: long non-coding RNA, 4259 nt
Organism: Equus caballus (horse)
Lineage: Eukaryota; Metazoa; Chordata; Mammalia; Perissodactyla; Equidae
Source: Ensembl
GAAACAUUUGUGCCCCUGCACCUCCCUGAGGUGGUGGCACUGCUCUUCUUGUCUGACUCUAGUGCCAGCUCCCUGUGUGAUCCUGAGCAAGUCUGUUCACCUCCCUGGACCUCGAGUUUUGGGGUGGGGUGAUGACGGUGUCUCUCUGCUUUCUUCAAGGGGCCGCAGUGAGGAUUUGAUGCCGUCGGCUUUGCAAAGGUGUCUGUGUGGCACAAAAUAAGGCAGCACUGUCAACACUUCCCUAAUGGAGGCCAUUCAAACAUUGUUUCGAAUGUGCCUGGCAGGUCCACCAAGAACCUGGUGCACCACCAGCUAGUCUGAAGCUUGAGAAAAGACGGGAAAAAGGGAAGAAAGGAAUGUGUCUGCUGUCCUUGCAGUGUUGUUGAAGAGCCCUUAGGUAAAGCACUUAGUACGAUGUCUGGCACAGUGGAGGGGCCUGAUAAGUGGAGACAUUAAUCUAACUGUUGUGACAGUGCGGAGCCAGGAAUCCAGGCUCCUGCCCAGCUCUCCCUCCAGCGGCUGCCGCUGCAGUUCCUGCCUCCCCCAGGGCUGCUUCUGGGAGACGUGGAGCCGGGAGCCGCCAUCAGGGCUGAACACAUUGGCCUGAGCUCCAACCUGCUCUCUACUGAAGCGUUUCCCUGCUGUCAUAUCACUGCCCUUUGCCAGCCUAGGUUAAUGCAACCUGGGAAAAGGCUCCAGUCUACAGCGAUGGUCAGCCCUGGAAGCGGGUGCUCCUCUCCCUCCUCCCAUCCCCCGAAUUCCCCCAGGCUCUGGCUAGUCAGUCAGUCUUUGCAGACGCCUGAUUCCUGCUAUGGCAGCCAUGUGCCAUGCAGGUGAGGGGCAGAGGUGGCACUGAGCUGGCAGCCCCAGGGUUGACCGGCAGCAGGACUGCAUUACUCUGCAAGGAUAGAGCCACCCUGGAAUCCCUGUCUUCUGAUUCAGGGAAGCAAUCUUCCUACAGGAGAGAGGAACUGGCACUGACGGCGGGCGUGCCUGGAGCUGUGUGGGGUGCUUUGCGUGCUGCCUGCCUUCGUUCUAGCAGCACCCCUCACAGUGGACGUUAUGGACCACUAUUCCAGAUAAGUAACUGAGGAUUGGGGUCACAGAAGGUCACUCAGCUGACAAGUGGCAGAGUCCGAAUUCUACGCCAGGUCAUCAUCACUUUGCCCUGCCCCCUGCCCCUCAGUGGUGGGCCUUUGGGCUGUGUUUUGUUGUAUUUUUGUAUUUCAUCCAGUGCAAGCCGAUUAUAGAAGAAACAAGGUGGGUGAGCCUGAGCUUUGAUUUCUUCAUCUCGCAUGUGGCCACAGGAGUGUCAUAGAAUGACCACACUGGAGCCACCUCAGCGAUGGGUAGAGCCACCCCCCCUGGUUUACAGGAGGGAAACUGAGGUCUAGAGGUGGGGAGCAACUUGCCUGAGGUUACAAGAUGGGUCAGUGGAGAGCUGGGCCAGGCCGGACUCUCCUUGGGGCCUCCUUCAUUGGUCUUUCUCAUCCUCCCUUGCUGGCCUCUUCACCUCUGUCCAGUUCUGCACAUUGGAGGAUCCCAGCCUGUCGCCCCUGGACCUCUUUUCUGCAUCUCAUUCCCCGGGUGACCCAGUCCCAUGAUUCUAAUUACCAUCUACAUGCCCGCCCUGAGUCUCAACUUGAGACCUCUAGCCCUGACCCCGCCUUUGAACUCCAGCCCAUCUGUCCAGCUGCCUUGGCCUGUCCUUAGACAUCUAAGAGGCUAACAAACUGGAUGUGUCUAAAACACAACUCUUGAUUUAGCUGUAUCCUCCCGGCUCCCACCAAGCUUGCUCCUCCCACAACUUCCCCAUUUUAGUCACUGGACCAUCAUCUUCCCAGUUAUUCAGGCUGAAAGCAUUGGUGUUAUCCUAUAUUUCCUUCCCUCAACCCCCACAUCUGAUCCAUUAGUAAAAAUAUAUUGCAGUCUGACCCUUCUCCCAUCUCCACCGUCAUCUGAUGCUGCAGCAACCUAACUGGUCCUCCUGCAUCCUCUUUUCCCGUCAAGAAUUUAUUCUUCUCACAGCAACCAACGUGCUCUCUUUUAAACAGAACAGGUUGUAUCAUUCCCCUGCUUGAAAACCUUUCAGUGACUUCACAUCAAUUCAGUAUGAAAUCCCAACUCCCUGCCAUGGUCCACAAGGCCCUACAGGUCCUGGGCUUCUGGAAGCCUCUGUCUCCAUUUUCAUCUCCUCCUGCUUCCUGAGAAUGAUGCACUGUCUCUUCUUUUUGUUCCGUGAGCACCCCAAGGUUGCCCCUGCCUCGGGGCCUUUGCACGACUCUUCCAUUUUCUUGGAACCCUCUUCCAAGAUCGUGGCUCAGUUGCUUCCUCAUUGUUGACAUCACUUGUCACAUUCCCUGAAUACCCUGUCUAGAGAAGCACCACCCCUCUGCCCAUCACUGUCUGUCACACUGGCAUGCUCUCUCUCUCACAGCCCUUGUCGUCACCUGAAAUCAUCUGGGUUAUUUGCCCACUUGUGGACUGUCUUUUCUCCUCACUGGAAUGUAAGUUCUGGGACUGUUUUUGUCCCUGCCACGUCCUCAAUACUAACAACAGUGUGCCUAGCACAUGGCAGGUGCUCAAUGAGUACUUGUUCACAGAACCAGCCACAUGGACUAAGGGCCUAAGUUACAACUCAAGUUUAUUCUAGGUUGCUGCCCCCAGACUCUCUUUUGUAGGACAGCUUUUCCCUGUCCUACGACUUCUUUAAGACAGUAAUUUCUUUAAGUGCUCAGAGGUCACUCAUUUAUCUACCAGCUCUACCACCUACAGGCUGUGUGACCUUGGGCAAGUUACUUAAUGUCUCUGUGUCUCAGUUUUGUCAGCUGUAAAAUGGGGGUAAUAACAGUGCCCACUUCAUAGAGUAAAUGUGAGAAUUGAAUGAAUGCAUAAAGAGUGCUUAAAACAGCACAGGGACACAGUGUUCAAUAACGUUAGCUCUAUUAUUUUUAUCAUCGUUAUCAUCACCACUGUCAUCAUCACUGGUGUUUUUAAUUGAGAUAUACUUGACAUAUAACAUAUUAGUUGCAGCUGUACAGCAUGAUUCAAUAUACGUAUAUAUUGCAACAUGAUCAGCAAAAUCUAGUUAACAUCCAUCACCAGUCUGACUCCUGGAAGAGGCAACUGGUGUCUCUGCCUUCACGUAAUAAUACUUUGUGCCACUCUGCCUGCACAGUACCCUCCAGUGGUUUUCGAUUUCACUUCAGAAAAAGACCAAACCCCUUUAAGUAGCCUGUGAGCCCCACAAGCACCUCUCCAGCCUCAUCCUGCAUGGCUUUCCCCGUUGUUUGACCCCCUGCAGUCACACCAGCCUCAUUUCAGCGUUCAUGUGACUUCUGCUUGUCCCACAUCAGGCACUUUGCCUGGAACUUACUCUCCCUCCACCUUUACCUGGUCAGUGCCUGCUCUUCGUCCCCAUCUCAGCUAGGUCAUUACCGUCUUAGCCUCCCACGACCACUCACGAGGGAAAUUCCCUAUUUCACACUCGGGGCAACACGUCCCUCUGUGGUAGCACGUCUCACAGUUGUGCGUUUGCUCUCUGCCUUCACUUGGAUUAACAUCUGCCUUCCCUGUUAGAUGCUAAACUCCAUGAGAACAGAGACCAACUCGUUCUUUGCUCACCUUUGUACUCCCAAUGCGAGCAGUGUUUGCACAGAGUAAGUAUUCAAUAAAUAUUAAAUGAGUGAGUGAAUGAAUGAAGGGGAGAAAGCCUUUGGGGUGGAGGGUAGCCCUUCAGAUCAAGCACAGACCUGCCCCAAGUGAAAAUCUGCUGCCUUUGCAUAACCAACUGGCCUCCUGCUGUGAAGCCCGAACAGCUCCUGACUUCCAGCAGGUUCCACUUGCUAGCAACGUGGCAUGGGCAGCCCCUGCCUGCCAUGCUGCUUUCACAGGGUGCGCACAGAGCUACAAAAAUGGGAAAGCCUUUGCUCGUCUAAGCCAAGAUAGAAACUGGACGUGAAGCUGCAGCACAAUGGAGAAGUCUGUCUCGCUUCCUGGACUCGGCUGUCUUACUGCCAGACACUCAGCUUUUCCUUCCCUCUCGAAACAAGGUGACUGUGGUGUCCUGAUGGUGGACUGCUCUGUUCUGAUUUAGCUGGCUGAUGGUGUUUUCUUUAAUUGGUUCCAUCAGAGGUCCUUCAGGCUGCAGACCCGGACCAGUCACCCCCAGAGUCUGUACCAAGACAUGGCAAAAUGAGAAAAAUAGGGACCAAAUAGGGAGUUUUCCUAAAACUAAAUGAAUUCUCAGAUUGUCUGCC